AUGUCGAUGCACGAUGGGAGGUACUUGUGGUUCUUCAACUUCAUGGUUGUCUGGCCUAGCCGCCAUCCGCCCGCGCAAACGCGGUACAGCUCCACUACAGCAGCAGGAGGCGGUGACGUCGCCAAAGGCUGGCAGAUACUUGAUGGCUCUUGAUAAGAAGCCUAUUGCAACUAAAGGCCACCACCUUUGUUGUCCUCACCCUAGCCGAGGACCUCAUCUCCCAGUGGCGACAAAAUGGUCCAUUAGUGGAAACACCAAGCAUCAUGGAGAGCUGUUUCGUCAGGAGCUUCGAACGCGAGCCAUAGACGGGGAGUUGAUGCCACUGGGCUUAUGGGCUCUUCUUUUGGGCACCAAAGCAAAGAGCAGUGGAUAAUAUUUGGAAUGGUCAUAAGUCAAACUAGACUUCCCUAGCGACAGCGAUUCAACGAAUAAGAACCAGGCCAACAUGUAGUGAGACCGAGAGCAUGAGGCUUCAGUACCUGUCUACUAACAUCAGAUGCAUUAGUUGAUGUCUUGAUUAGUUGUAGCAGGGAACCAGCUUCCAGUGCCUCUUGUACCGAUCAUCAGCAAGGGAGUGCUAGAGGAGGAGGUUAUGGUGAGUUUUGUCGCGACUAAUGGUGAGCCCACGACUACGGCCACAUCAAAGCUGGUCUGGUGGAACCUCGUGGAGCAGAUGACGAUGACGCCGACAUCCUGCACCUCUGCUGCGACGCUGCCGACCAGGACGCGGGCCCCUCCGUCGCGCGCGCUCUACAAGUCUGGAUCCAUCAUCGUGCUCGGCAAGACUGACUUCCUUAGGCCAGACAUGGAUCCCAUAACCAGAUGGACAGCCACAAAGAAAAGUGGCCUGAUUAGCUACAAGAAGCUCUUGUUCCAUGGACUCGAUCUCUGGACCGCACUAUCGUUGCCUCAACCCCUAGGUCGUGCUGCCCUCUGGCC
RNAcentral lists this unclassified non-coding RNA (939 nucleotides) under Zea mays. Its description in RNAcentral is "misc RNA Zm00001eb058430". The record is from RNAcentral. Lineage: Eukaryota; Viridiplantae; Streptophyta; Magnoliopsida; Poales; Poaceae.